AAGCUGAUGGUAUAAUCAAGCUUGCGAGAAGUUUUAUGGGCGGUGGCUGGUUUCUCGAAAUGGGGUGGUUCCAAUGGACUAUUCUGUAGAAAGGAAGGCAGCCCAUGAGUGUCUACCAGGCCCUCAUGCUGAUGUUGGCAUUCGCAACCUUCGUCGUUGCGUUGUUGACCUUUA
Molecule: small RNA, 174 nt
Filed under: Limosilactobacillus ingluviei
Lineage: Bacteria; Bacillati; Bacillota; Bacilli; Lactobacillales; Lactobacillaceae
Description: Lactobacillus ingluviei Listeria sRNA rli28
Rfam family: Listeria sRNA rli28
Source: Rfam by way of RNAcentral